This 427-nucleotide ribosomal RNA is filed under the name uncultured bacterium. RNAcentral's name for it is "bacterial SSU rRNA". It matches the Rfam family "Bacterial small subunit ribosomal RNA", at positions 355 to 774 of the family's 1533-position model. The record is from RNAcentral.
UGGGGAAUUUUGGACAAUGGGCGCAAGCCUGAUCCAGCCAUGCCGCGUGCAGGAUGAAGGCCUUCGGGUUGUAAACUGCUUUUGUACGGAACGAAAAGGUGCCUUCUAAUAAAGGGCGCUCAUGACGGUACCGUAAGAAUAAGCACCGGCUAACUACGUGCCAGCAGCCGCGGUAAUACGUAGUGUGCGAGCGUUAAUCGGAAUUACUGGGCGUAAAGAGUGCGCAGGCGGUUUUGUAAGACAGAGGUGAAAUCCCCGGGCUCAACCUGGGAACUGCCUUUGUGACUGCAAGGCUGGAGUGCGGCAGAGGGGGAUGGAAUUCCGCGUGUAGCAGUGAAAUGCGUAGAUAUGCGGAGGAACACCGAUGGCGAAGGCAAUCCCCUGGGCCUGCACUGACGCUCAUGCACGAAAGCGUGGGGAGCAAACA